Molecule: ribosomal RNA, 465 nt
Filed under: Vreelandella stevensii
Lineage: Bacteria; Pseudomonadati; Pseudomonadota; Gammaproteobacteria; Oceanospirillales; Halomonadaceae
Description: partial 16S ribosomal RNA
Rfam family: Bacterial small subunit ribosomal RNA
Source: RNAcentral
CCUACGGGAGGCUGCAGUGGGGAAUAUUGGACAAUGGGGGCAACCCUGAUCCAGCCAUGCCGCGUGUGUGAAGAAGGCCCUCGGGUUGUAAAGCACUUUCAGUGAGGAAGAACGCCUGGUGGUUAAUACCCAUCAGGAAAGACAUCACUCACAGAAGAAGCACCGGCUAACUCCGUGCCAGCAGCCGCGGUAAUACGGAGGGUGCGAGCGUUAAUCGGAAUUACUGGGCGUAAAGCGCGCGUAGGUGGCUUGAUAAGCCGGUUGUGAAAGCCCCGGGCUCAACCUGGGAACGGCAUCCGGAACUGUCAAGCUAGAGGGCAGGAGAGGAAGGUAGAAUUCCCGGUGUAGCGGUGAAAUGCGUAGAGAUCGGGAGGAAUACCAGUGGCGAAGGCGGCCUUCUGGACUGACACUGACACUGAGGUGCGAAAGCGUGGGUAGCAAACAGGAUGAGAUACCCGUGUAGUC